AGGGAGUUAGCUGAGUGGUGUAGCAGUAAAUUUACACUUUACAGACAGAGUUUCGAUUACUCUACUCCUUA
Molecule: transfer RNA, 71 nt
Filed under: Amanita brunneolocularis
Lineage: Eukaryota; Fungi; Basidiomycota; Agaricomycetes; Agaricales; Amanitaceae
Also listed under: 3 other names
Description: tRNA-Val
Rfam family: tRNA
About the family: Transfer RNA (tRNA) molecules are approximately 80 nucleotides in length. Their secondary structure includes four short double-helical elements and three loops (D, anti-codon, and T loops). Further hydrogen bonds mediate the characteristic L-shaped molecular structure. tRNAs have two regions of fundamental functional importance: the anti-codon, which is responsible for specific mRNA codon recognition, and the 3' end, to which the tRNAs corresponding amino acid is attached (by aminoacyl-tRNA synthetases). tRNAs cope with the degeneracy of the genetic code in two manners: having more than one tRNA (with a specific anti-codon) for a particular amino acid; and 'wobble' base-pairing, i.e. permitting non-standard base-pairing at the 3rd anti-codon position.
Source: RNAcentral